CCCCACUCCAGAGGUGUUCAUUUAUCUUUUCUCCUGUUGGACACGGGACUCUCUAUCUGCAUACUGCAGGCAAUAGUGUUUUGGAAGAAGGAGCAUGACAAUCCCAUAAUGAUGGAGGCACACUUAUGUUACUCAUAUUGAAAUACAAUAUGAAAAACAUUGGUCUGAAACAAACUGCACCCUGAAGUGAUAUGGUAAGUACACAGAGAAGACUCCAUUUGGUAUAAUCCAGUAUCAGGUAAACAGUAUGGGAAUACUUCAUACUGCCACUUAGGGAAAGGAAUGCUUUAUGUUGUAAAAAUAAUUGCUGAUUUUUUUUCCUGCUGGCUCCCUUUAGGUUCCCUGAAGUAAUUGCUACUCAAACGCACUUGAGG
Molecule: long non-coding RNA, 374 nt
Filed under: Gallus gallus (chicken)
Lineage: Eukaryota; Metazoa; Chordata; Aves; Galliformes; Phasianidae
Source: RNAcentral